UACGGAGGGGGCUAGCGUUGUUCGGAAUUACUGGGCGUAAAGCGCACGUAGGCGGCUUUGUAAGUUAGAGGUGAAAGCCUGGAGCUCAACUCCAGAAUUGCCUUUGAUACUGCAAGGCUUGAAUCCAGGAGAGGUGAGUGGAAUUCCGAGUGUAGAGGUGAAAUUCGUAGAUAUUCGGAAGAACACCAGUGGCGAAGGCGGCUCACUGGACUGGUAUUGACGCUGAGGUGCGAAAGCGUGGGGAGCGAACAGG
This 253-nucleotide ribosomal RNA is filed under the name uncultured bacterium. RNAcentral describes it as "partial 16S ribosomal RNA". It matches the Rfam family "Bacterial small subunit ribosomal RNA", at positions 524 to 776 of the family's 1533-position model. The record is from RNAcentral.